CUCUCUCCCUGCCCAGUAAAGAUGUGAGACUAUAAAUAUUAGCCAGUGUCUACUGGGCCAUCACAAGACCUUACUGGAUUUAACUAGACGGUCACCUAAGAUUUAAACUAGCAAAACUAGCGUUGAGAGUUAUUAGUUAAAAAAAAGGUUGAAGUAGUUCAUAAUUCUCUUCUCUACAAUGUUACACUCAAUAAAUAACAUUCACAGAUGCUCUCUAUCGCUGGUGUUUGCUGUCUGCUUAUCCCUCCUUCUGUUUAGCAACGGAUGCUCAGAAGCCUCCAUAUACCACAUAAAAGGAAUCUGUUCACAUAAAGACAAGUUUUACAAACCAGGAGAUUCUUUUCGGAGAGGCUGUGACAAGUGCUUCUGUCAUGACUUUGGUGCCUACUGCUUCACGCCAAUAAAGCCCACUUCCUGGCCCAAGAAGUGUCGUCGGAUCAGGACAGAGUGCAGAUAUACAGUCGUUUAUAAAGAAAACCCACAGGUGGAGUGCCGAGCCUACAGCUGGAUAGGUUGACAAACUGGACUAUUUUAAAUAUGUAGAUAAUGUAUGAUCUGCAUAGUACAUAGUGUAUAUAUAGUUGUCAAACUUUUGUUUUGAACAGCAUAACCUCAAUGAUAUUACUGAAUUAAUGAGGACAAGUCAAAUUAUAAUUUGAUGCUUACUGGAAACAAGAAGAUAGAGUCACCAUUCUUUGUUUGUUGGUGUUUUUUUUUUUUUUGUAAUGAUUAAAAUUGGUACAAGACAG
Molecule: long non-coding RNA, 749 nt
Organism: Dicentrarchus labrax (European seabass)
Lineage: Eukaryota; Metazoa; Chordata; Actinopteri; Moronidae
Exons: 3
Source: RefSeq, a predicted model, not a curated record